UACGGCCACACCACCCUGAACGUGCCCGAUCUCGUCUGAUCUCGGAAGCUAAGCAGGGUCGGGCCUGGUUAGUACUUGGAUGGGAGACAUGUCUGGUAAACGGUUAGCAUCCAAAA
Molecule: ribosomal RNA, 116 nt
Organism: Mustela putorius furo (domestic ferret)
Lineage: Eukaryota; Metazoa; Chordata; Mammalia; Carnivora; Mustelidae
Source: Ensembl